GUGGGCGUAGCUCAGUUGGUCAGUAGCGCCAGGUUGUGGCCCUGGAGGUCAUGGGUUCGAGUCCCAUCGCUCACCCCA
This 78-nucleotide transfer RNA is filed under the name Bacillota bacterium. Its description in RNAcentral is "Firmicutes bacterium (anaerobic digester metagenome) tRNA-His". It matches the Rfam family "tRNA". Rfam says of the family: Transfer RNA (tRNA) molecules are approximately 80 nucleotides in length. The record is from RNAcentral. Lineage: Bacteria; Bacillati; Bacillota.